AUACGUAGGUGGCAAGCGUUGUCCGGAAUUAUUGGGCGUAAAGCGCAUGUAGGCGGUUUGGUAAGUCGGUCGUGAAAAUGCGGUGCUUAACGCCGUAUGGCGAUCGAAACUGCGGAACUUGAGUGCCGGAGAGGAAAGGGGAACUCCCAGGGUAGCGGUGAAAUGCGUAGAUAUUGGGAAGAACACCGGUGGCGAAGGCGCCUUUCUGGACUGUGUCUGACGCUCAGAUGCGAAAGCCAGGGUAGCGAACGGGAUUAGAUACCCCGGUAGUCCUGGCCGUAAACGAUGGGUACUAGGUGUGGGAGGUAUCGACUCCUUCCGUGCCGGAGUUAACGCAAUAAGUACCCCGCCUGGGGAGUACGGCCGCAAGGCUUAAACUCAAAGGAAUUGACGG
RNAcentral lists this ribosomal RNA (394 nucleotides) under uncultured bacterium. Its description in RNAcentral is "partial 16S ribosomal RNA". It matches the Rfam family "Bacterial small subunit ribosomal RNA", at positions 523 to 916 of the family's 1533-position model. The record is from RNAcentral.